GGAUUGGGGCUCAGCGGUAGAGCACUUGCCUAGCAUGUGCAAGGCCCUGGGUUUGAUCCUCAGCACCCCA
RNAcentral lists this transfer RNA (70 nucleotides) under Marmota monax (woodchuck). RNAcentral describes it as "tRNA.Ala". Lineage: Eukaryota; Metazoa; Chordata; Mammalia; Rodentia; Sciuridae. The record is from RNAcentral.